UACGUAGGGUGCAAGCGUUAUCCGGAAUUAUUGGGCGUAAAGAGCUCGUAGGCGGUUUGUCGCGUCUGCUGUGAAAUCCCGUGGCUCAACUGCGGGCUUGCGGACGAUACGGGCAGGCUAGAAUUCGGUAGGGGAGACUGGAAUUCCUGGUGUAGCGGUGAAAUGCGCAGAUAUCAGGAGGAACACCGGUGGCGAAGGCGGGUCUCUGGGCCGAUAUUGACGCUGAGGAGCGAAAGCGUGGGGAGCGAACAGG
RNAcentral lists this ribosomal RNA (253 nucleotides) under uncultured bacterium. RNAcentral's name for it is "partial 16S ribosomal RNA". It matches the Rfam family "Bacterial small subunit ribosomal RNA", at positions 524 to 776 of the family's 1533-position model. The record is from RNAcentral.